Molecule: ribosomal RNA, 203 nt
Filed under: uncultured Lactobacillus sp.
Lineage: Bacteria; Bacillati; Bacillota; Bacilli; Lactobacillales; Lactobacillaceae
Description: partial 16S ribosomal RNA
Rfam family: Bacterial small subunit ribosomal RNA
Source: RNAcentral
GAUGCUAAUACCGGAUAACAACAGAUGAUGCCUAUCAACUGUUUAAAAGAUGGUUCUGCUAUCACUAUUGGAUGGACCUGCGGUGCAUUAGCUAGUUGGUAGGGUAACGGCCUACCAAGGCGAUGAUGCAUAGCCGAGUUGAGAGACUGAUCGGCCACAUUGGGACUGAGACACGGCCCAAACUCCUACGGGAGGCAGCAGCU